Molecule: ribosomal RNA, 300 nt
Filed under: uncultured Planomicrobium sp.
Lineage: Bacteria; Bacillati; Bacillota; Bacilli; Caryophanales; Caryophanaceae
Description: bacterial SSU rRNA
Rfam family: Bacterial small subunit ribosomal RNA
Source: RNAcentral
ACGUGGGCAACCUGCCCUGCAGAUCGGGAUAACUCCGGGAAACCGGUGCUAAUACCGAAUAGUUUUUGCCCCUCCUGGGCGGAACGGAAAGACGGUUUCGGCUGUCACUGCAGGAUGGGCCCGCGGCGCAUUAGCUAGUUGGUGGGGUAAUGGCCCACCAAGGCGACGAUGCGUAGCCGACCUGAGAGGGUGAUCGGCCACACUGGGACUGAGACACGGCCCAGACUCCUACGGGAGGCAGCAGUGGGGAAUCUUGGACAAUGGGGGCAACCCUGAUCCAGCCAUGCCGCGUGAGUGAUG